RNAcentral lists this ribosomal RNA (406 nucleotides) under uncultured bacterium. RNAcentral's name for it is "partial 16S ribosomal RNA". It matches the Rfam family "Bacterial small subunit ribosomal RNA", at positions 28 to 526 of the family's 1533-position model. The record is from RNAcentral.
GAUGAACGCUAGCUACAGGCUUAACACAUGCAAGUCGAGGGACCGGCGCACGGGUGAGUAACACGUAUCCAACCUGCCCUUUACUCGGGGAUAGCCUUUCGAAAGUAAGAUUAAUACCCGAUAUAAAGGAUGGGGAUGCGUUCCAUUCGGUUGUUGGUGAGGUAACGGCUCACCAAGCCUUCGAUGGAUAGGGGUUCUGAGAGGAAGGUCUCCCACAGUGGAACUGAGACACGAUUCAAACUCGUACGGGAGGCAGCAGUGAGGAAUAUUGGUUAAUGGGCGCUAGCCUGAACCAGCCAAGUAGCGUGAAGAAUGAAGGCUUAUGGGUCGUAAACUUCGUUUCUAUGAGAAUAUGUAUUAUAUGAAUCAAGAUCGGCUGACUCCGUGGCAGGAGCCGGGGUAAUAC